RNAcentral lists this ribosomal RNA (491 nucleotides) under uncultured bacterium. RNAcentral's name for it is "partial 16S ribosomal RNA". It matches the Rfam family "Bacterial small subunit ribosomal RNA", at positions 29 to 507 of the family's 1533-position model. The record is from RNAcentral.
GUGAACGCUGGCGGUAGGCCUAACACAUGCAAGUCGAACGGCAGCACAGUAAGAGCUUGCUCUUACGGGUGGCGAGUGGCGGACGGGUGAGGAAUACAUCGGAAUCUACUUUUUCGUGGGGGAUAACGUAGGGAAACUUACGCUAAUACCGCAUACGACCUACGGGUGAAAGCAGGGGAUCUUCGGACCUUGCGCGAUUGAAUGAGCCGAUGUCGGAUUAGCUAGUUGGCGGGGUAAAGGCCCACCAAGGCGACGAUCCGUAGCUGGUCUGAGAGGAUGAUCAGCCACACUGGAACUGAGACACGGUCCAGACUCCUACGGGAGGCAGCAGUGGGGAAUAUUGGACAAUAGGCGCAAGCCUGAUCCAGCCAUACCGCGUGGGUGAAGAAGGCCUUCGGGUUGUAAAGCCCUUUUGUUGGGAAAGAAAAGCAGCAGGUUAAUACCCCGCUGUUCUGACGGUACCCAAAGAAUAAGCACCGGCUAACUUCGUG